CUGGGUGGCUCAGUGGGUUAAGCCCCUGCCUUCAGCUCAGGUCAUGAUCUCAGGGUCCUGGGAUCGAGUCCCGCAUCAGGCUCUUUGCUCAGCAGGAAGCCUGCUUUCCCCUCUCUCUCUCUGCCUGCCUCUCCAUCUACUUGUGAUUUCUCUCUGUCGAAUAAAUAAAUAAAAUCUUUUAAAAAAAAUAAGAAAAUAAAGAAAAUCUUAAAAAAACAAACCCCAGGAGCUGAGAAGCGAGAUGAGAAGUUUGCCAUGGGGAGCAGGGGGACCACCAAGGCCCCCCUUAGUCCCUGGAUUUAUGGGCCUGGUGAGUUAGAGGAGCUGCACUGUAGCGGGAGGCUCUGAGGUCACAGAGGUAAUGGUAUUUGUGUGUAUGGGCGGGGGGUGGGGAGGCAUAAAGAGCCUUGGAGGCUAUUUUGGGGACUUUGUGUCUUACUCUGAAUGAGAUGGGAAACCACUGGAGGAUCUGAGCAAAGACGGACACAAUGGACCAAUAUGACUGCCAUGCUGAGCAACCACUGUAUGGGGAAAGCCAUAAGCAGGGGGACCAGCUCGGAGGCUAUCUGAGUCAUUCAGGAGGAAGACAGGAAGAAUGUGGUAUCCUAGAAGCCAAGUCAAGAAAGGAUUCUAGGGGAGAGAGGAGUGAGUUGUGUUAAAUAUUGCUGAUAGCCACUAAAGUUGAAGACUGGUCAUUGGCCAUCGACAAUAGCAAUGAAGAAGCCAUUGGUGAACUUGAGGACAACAGCUUUGGCAGGUCUGUGGGGCAAAAUCUGGAAAGCAAAUGGGAGAAAAGGAAUUACAGACACAGUCAGUGUAGGUGUGCAGCUGGAGUGGGAACAUCUCUACCAUGACCCUCACCUUGCAACGUUAUGUUUCAGCAAACCUGAAUUACCUAAAGGUCCCUAGCUAGUAUUGUGUGUGAAGGUGAAUUAACUAAAGGUCCCAGGAUCAGUGAGGCCACCAGCAGGAAGUCUAUAGCACAGAAAGAAGGUUUAAUUUAAGAAAGUUAAUGAAGGGCCUCUUUAUGAGACAUGGGGACAGCUAAGGGAAAAUAGUAAAACACCGACACUAGCACCAAAAGGAGACCAAAGCGACAGACGAAUGGUGCUAUCAUAACCCUGUGGAAGAGUCAGCCCAGCAGGAGCAGUAGGGGCAAGCAACCAGUCAAAAUCGUGAUAAAUCCCCUCGCCUACAUUUCCUCCAAACCUACAAUCUCCUGCUUGGGUGCCGUUUGGUCAAAUACAACUGAAAGCCGGAAGAUGAGAAAGCCAGGAUGAUGCAGUCUGUAGUGGUCAGCCUCCUGGGCACAAAGUAGGCAAGGGAGGGAUGGAAAAUUAAUCAGAGAGCUUUUGCCCUUUAUUUAGAGGAAAAAAAUCGGUGGCCUCUACCCAGAGGAGACAGCAAGUCUCAUCAGGUACUGAUUACGGGUUAGACUUUGUGGAAAAUCCUCUGGCUCAGAUGCGGGCUUCCUAGCCCCCAUUUUGUCCUACCCGACCAGUACAGCGAACCCCACUCAAUGCUUGCUGGGUCAGCAGCAUGAGAAGCCCGAAAGUGGCCAGUCAUAAACCUGAGCUUCCAGUUUAAUGGGUUCAAGACUGUGUCCUCCAGGGAAUGUUCCUUCAUGUGCACUAGGAUCUCCAAACCUAGAGUCCAACGUUAUGGGGGAAACAUGUUCUGUAAGAGGGUUGUUUGGUGAAAUCGUGAGAGAUCACUUCCAACUCCACCCCAGUCCUUGUAUACGUCCACAAACCUAAGUGAUCAUGUCACAUCUUCUCUGUCUUCAAAUCUCGAACACUUCUGCCCCAGGCUACACUCCAGACUGAUUUGCGUCUCUAGGGAUACCCUGUCAAAGAAGAGAACCUGUGUAAUCUGGCUACGGGGGAAACAGUACCACACUGAUGUGGUGAUCUCCUGAAGAAGGUAGCUCCAGUUGGUGCCACAACUGAGCCCUCAGCAGGCCACUCCCCAGUCCAUUCGAACAGUUGCUCGAGUAUCUCAAUAACUAUGCACACACCAGUGAAUUCCACGGGCAUGAACUCAGCUCCCCAAGCCUUCUGCUAUAUAAUGUGCUCCCUGGUUGGAGAUGUUGUGUGGGUUACCAUGACAAUGAAUAGGGCUUUCUGAAAACCUUCAAGGGGUGGUGCUGGCAGAAGUAUUGCCAAGUGGAGAAAGCAAGUCUGUAUCGGAGCAGGACUCCCUUCCUAAGACAGCAGACUGCUGGUUCUCUCCGCGAAGGAGUAAUAUAAGUGGUAGGCCUGACCCCCCAGUGGAAGGUGCCAAUAUAGAUGAUUUGGUGAUGGUCUUUGCUAGUAGUUAGCCAUUUGGGAACUCAAUGGAGAUGGUAUCUCUGUUAGCCCUAGUGAAGGGUACUUACUGAGGAUGCACAGGGGUGACAGAGGAAAUGGGUUGAGUGACAUUCACAGGUAGACUGACCAUUUCAACAGCUUGAUUAUCAAGCACCUCUGCUUGGGGGGCUCUGCAGUGGUGCCCCAGAUGGGAACAUCCAUGAUGCCUUGGGAUCUUCACAUGAUGUUCAUCCUGGGGCUUCCAUCCAUGUACCUCUUUCCCAGAGUUUUCUGGUCCCAAGCCUCCUGGUCUUGACCAUCCAGGUUUUCUGACUAGCCUGUGAAUCUAUUACCUGUAACUCAUUAGGUAGUGUAGACCUCCAAAGCACACUAUCAGAUUGGCCAAAAUGUAUCUACUGAGAGGCUUUUCCUUCACCACCGUCUUUCAG
RNAcentral lists this long non-coding RNA (2737 nucleotides) under Mustela putorius furo (domestic ferret). RNAcentral's name for it is "lncRNA (ENSMPUG00000029660.1)". The record is from RNAcentral. Lineage: Eukaryota; Metazoa; Chordata; Mammalia; Carnivora; Mustelidae.